AUUGAACGCUGGCGGCAGGCUUAACACAUGCAAGUCGAGCGGGGAUUGGGUGCUUGCACCUAAUCUUAGCGGCGGACGGGUGAGUAAUGCUUAGGAAUCUGCCAUUUAGUGGGGGACAACAUUCCGAAAGGGAUGCUAAUACCGCAUACGCCCUACGGGGGAAAGCAGGGGAUCAUUAGACCUUGCGCUAAAUGAUGAGCCUAAGUCGGAUUAGCUAGUUGGUGGGGUAAAGGCCUACCAAGGCGACGAUCUGUAGCGGGUCUGAGAGGAUGAUCCGCCACACUGGGACUGAGACACGGCCCAGACUCCUACGGGAGGCAGCAGUGGGGAAUAUUGGACAAUGGGCGCAAGCCUGAUCCAGCCAUGCCGCGUGUGUGAAGAAGGCCUUUUGGUUGUAAAGCACUUUAAUCGAGGAGGAGGCUACCUGGAUUACUACUCUAGGAUAGUGGACGUUACUCGCAGAAUACGCACCGGCUAACUCUGUGCCAGCAGCCGCGGUAAUACAGAGGGUGCGAGCGGUAAUCGGAAUUUACUGGGCCUAAAAGCGUGCGUAGGCGGCUGAUUAAGUCGGAUGUGAAAUCCCUGAGCUUAACUUAGGAAUUGCAUUCGAUACUGGUCAGCUAGAGUAUGGGAGAGGAUGGUAGAAUUCCAGGUGUAGCGGUGAAAUGCGUAGAGAUCUGGAGGAAUACCGAUGGCGAAGGCAGCCAUCUGGCCUAAUACUGACGCUGAGGUACGAAAGCAUGGGGAGCAAACAGGAUUAGAUACCCUGGUAGUCCAUGCCGUAAACGAUGUCUACUAGCCGUUGGGGCCUUUGAGGCUUUAGUGGCGCAGCUAACGCGAUAAGUAGACCGCCUGGGGAGUACGGUCGCAAGACUAAAACUCAAAUGAAUUGACGGGGGCCCGCACAAGCGGUGGAGCAUGUGGUUUAAUUCGAUGCAACGCGAAGAACCUUACCUGGCCUUGACAUAGUAGAAACUUUCCAGAGAUGGAUUGGUGCCUUCGGGAAUCUACAUACAGGUGCUGCAUGGCUGUCGUCAGCUCGUGUCGUGAGAUGUUGGGUUAAGUCCCGCAACGAGCGCAACCCUUUUCCUUACUUGCCAGCAUUUCGGAUGGGAACUUUAAGGAUACUGCCAGUGACAAACUGGAGGAAGGCGGGGACGACGUCAAGUCAUCAUGGCCCUUACGGCCAGGGCUACACACGUGCUACAAUGGUCGGUACAAAGGGUUGCUACCUAGCGAUAGGAUGCUAAUCUCAAAAAGCCGAUCGUAGUCCGGAUUGGAGUCUGCAACUCGACUCCAUGAAGUCGGAAUCGCCAGUAAUCGCGGAUCAGAAUGCCGCGGUGAAUACGUUCCCGGGCCG
Molecule: ribosomal RNA, 1360 nt
Filed under: uncultured bacterium
Lineage: Bacteria
Description: bacterial SSU rRNA
Rfam family: Bacterial small subunit ribosomal RNA
Source: RNAcentral